Molecule: ribosomal RNA, 1317 nt
Filed under: Bithia sp. 1 HNL-2023a
Lineage: Eukaryota; Metazoa; Arthropoda; Insecta; Diptera; Tachinidae
Description: 16S ribosomal RNA
Source: RNAcentral
UUAUAAUUUAUUUAUUAUUUUAUAUUUUAUUUAAUUUAAAUUGUUAAAAAUAAUUAUAUGUUUAAUUGUUUUAGUAUUUAUUAAAGAAAAAAUAAUUUUAAUUAUAGUAUAAUAGUAUUGUGAAAGAAAAUUGAAAUAUAUUGAAAAAUUUUUAUUUUAAAAGAAAAUUUAAUUUAUUGUACCUUGUGUAUCAGGGUUUAUUAAAUAAAUAUUAUUAAAAUUAAUUUUCUCGAUUUUAAAAGAGUUAAUAUAUUAUAAAAUUUGAUGUAAUAAAAUUAUUUUUAAUAAUAUAUUAGAAAUGAAAAGUUAUUCGGUUUUAAAUUUAUCUAGUUCUUUAAGAAAUAAAUUUAAUUUAAAAAUUUUAUAUUAUUUAAUUUAAUAUACAAAUUAAAUAAUUGUUUAAUUUUAAUAUUUUAUGGGAUAAGCUAUAAAAUAAAUUUUUAAAAAUUACUAAUAAAUUAAUAAAUAUAAGCUUAGAAAUAGUUAUUAAUAAUAAAAAUGUUAUAAUUUAUAUUUUAUAAAUUAUUAUUUAUUUAGUUUUAAGUUUUUAUUAAAGUAUUUAUUUAAAUUAUAAAAGUAAAAAAAUUAUGAUUAGAUUAGUAUAUAUAUAAUGUAUUAAUAAAUAUUAAUGGUAAGUUUUUAUAAAGAACUCGGCAAAUAAAUAUUCGCCUGUUUAACAAAAACAUGUCUUUUUGAUUAACUAAAAAGUCUAGCCUGCCCACUGAAUUUUUAAAUGGCCGCAGUAUUUUAACUGUGCAAAGGUAGCAUAAUCAUUAGUCUUUUAAUUGAAGGCUGGAAUGAAUGGUUGGACGAGAUAUUAACUGUUUCAUGAAAAUUUUUAUAAGAAUUUUAUUUUUUAGUUAAAAAGCUAGAAUAAAUUUAAAAGACGAGAAGACCCUAUAAAUCUUUAUAUUUAAAUUGUUAUUAUUAUUUAUAUAAAUUUUAUAAUAAUAAUUAGUAAUAUUAUAUUGGGGUGAUAUUAAAAUUUAUUAAACUUUUAAUUAUUAUAUCAUUAAUAUAUGAAUAAUUGAUCUUUUAUUAAUGAUUAAAAAACUAAGUUACUUUAGGGAUAACAGCGUAAUUUUUUUGGAGAGUUCUUAUUAAUAAAAAAGAUUGCGACCUCGAUGUUGGAUUAAGAUAUAUGUUUAGGUGCAGUAGCUUAAAUUUAAAGUCUGUUCGACUUUUUAAUUCUUACAUGAUCUGAGUUCAAACCGGUGUGAGCCAGGUUGGUUUCUAUCUUUAAAAAAUAAAAGUAUUUCAGUACGAAAGGAUCUAAUAUUUAAUAAAUUAUUAUUUUUAUAUUGAAUAUUAUUAAUA